RNAcentral lists this long non-coding RNA (2295 nucleotides) under Olea europaea subsp. europaea. Lineage: Eukaryota; Viridiplantae; Streptophyta; Magnoliopsida; Lamiales; Oleaceae. The record is from RNAcentral.
GUAGGAUUUUGAUGUUUAGAAAAAUUAAAUUUUUCGUAGAAUUGCAAGCUAUCUUCGUCGAGCCCGAGCCUCCUUAUGCAAUCUUCCUCUAGUUUACUAGCAGGUGAUGCUAGUAAUGUAAAAUCUUGAAUUAUUGAUGAUUGUGAUGAUGAGAAAGGGGGUUGACAAAGAUACAUUACCAUGUACAAGAUGUAAUAGAAAUUCUCGAGUUGAAAUAAGGGAGUCCAAUAAAGAUAAUUUUGUGUCGAAUGACACGAAAGAUGAUUUGUACAUAUGAAGAAGAAAAGAUUGAAUCUAAAUCGAUAAAGAGUUAGACAAGACCCGACUUAACUCAACCCGGGCAAUGCAACGGGUCAAUGGAUCAUUGGUUUCAACCGAUAACCCCCGUCGUUCAAUCGAUAGGUCAAUUUCCGUCAAAAUAUAUUGUAAAUAUUUAACUUAUGUUAUUUUGGUGAUUAUAGAUCAAUCUGUAUGAUAAAAUUUAACAACACUAAAUCAUAUAUUGUGAAAAAUUCAUUUGCAACUGCUAUUUAUAAUGAUUAUAAGGAUGUGUUUGAUUGCAAGUGUGGAAUUUGCAUGGAAAAAAUAAAUUUUAGGUAAUUAAUUGCCUAGAAUUUAUUUACAUGGAAAAUGUCAAUUAAAUGUGUUCAAUUGCUUUAAUUUUCAAUCUAGAAAAUAUUAUACUUGUUCGAUUUUUAUUGGUGGGUAUAUGAGAGAGAGUGGAUAGAUGAGAGAGAGUGAGAGAAAUAAUGAAUGAAUUCCCUGAAGAAGAAAAAAAAUCCUACUGUCCCGAAAGAAAAUAUUUUCCUUGAUUUUGAGAAAAAUAUGGUCACGUGACAAAAGUAGAAAAAUGGUUUCCAUGAAAAAAAUAUCAGUCAAACAGUACAAAAGUAAAAAUUUGAGUGAAAAAAUACAUUUUUCAUGAAAUAUAUUGACAAUCAAACGCAUCCUAAUAUGAAUUUGAAGUACUUGCUUUUGCCCAAUUUAUGUUCUUGCAUAGUGAAUCUUAUAUGAUAAGUAAUCUAGUGCUAUCUUUCUAUCACUGUAAAGAUCAGACAAAGGCAUCUAAAGAAUUAAUUUGAUAAGAGUCAUCAAUGUUAAGUAUUAAAUCAACAAAAUAUAGUCAGAUACAAUAAACUACAACCCAAGAUUCAGUCAGCAAAUUAAGAGAACUAAACAACAAGCAACAUGGAAAGAAUAUCAAAAACCCUGAAAAUCAUGUGUCCUCGGAACUAAACAGUUGAUAUGGGAAGCAAACACCAUACAACACAAGUAAUUCUUUUAAUUUUCAUUCGGUGUUGGGAAUUUUCUUUGCUGCAAAUCAAUUGGGAAUAAGGCUCAAUUUUUUAUUUUUGGUGUUAGAGAUUUCCUUGCACAUAAGAGGCAUUUUCACCUAAGGUCAAGUAACAUAAGUACAUCUUGAAAAGUAUGCAUAGUAGGGAAUUACCCAAUAACUCAUAGAUUUGAUAUUUUACAACUAAUCAAAUUGCUAGGCAAUUUGUUGUCAAAUGAUCUCCCCAAGCUAUGAUGUUAACUCGAUUUUAAUUUUAGUCGGCUUAGAACAAAUGACUGAACGAUAUACCGACACCACAAAAGGGACGACCCAACCCCAAUUUGGAUAAGCCACUCGAAGGACCUAAUUUAGUAGAGUUGCUCAUGGCUCGACCCAUUUUACUUGGAUGGCUUAGCAAUGGAACCCAUUUAGAAGUCCAUUACUCUUUGUGUUGGGCCUUUUGGGUCAAUACCUUAACCUAACCUAGCUUACCUUAUUUGGUUAAAUGAACUGUGUCCUCCAUUGCCUCAAGCGUGCGCGAUGUGCAAUUUUGCUGCCUCUUCUUCUCCAUCUCUCUGUCCAUUUUUAGUUUGCUACCUUUGUGGUUAAUCUUUGUGAGAUAUUGGCUUUCGUUUGUUUGUGGGUAUUGAAUAGCAAUCGUAAAGGGGGAGAAAAUCCGGUUGGGAUGUUUGGUCAUUUCUGGGUUGUGGUGUUGAUUUGGUGGUGAACUAAGCCCGGAAUCACCUUGGUUGUUGUGGGUUUUCACUCUACACAAACAUAUUCAUAAUCUUUCUAUUGGAGCACAUGAGAAACAAAGAUUAUCAUAUUAUGAAAAGAGAUGACUACGCUCUGGAAACUAAAAUUCAUUCAACAGACUUGAAUCUCAUGUGAAGUGCGAGCUUAUUAUAUGGAAAUCUGCUGCCUUAGCAAAAUAUCACAAAACAGAUACUAAGUAUUUCCCAAUCUGCUGCCUUAACUAAUUAGCUACCUUGAAAGUCAUAUGCUCUUCUUUAAUAAUCCCA